Molecule: ribosomal RNA, 1800 nt
Filed under: Triticum aestivum (bread wheat)
Lineage: Eukaryota; Viridiplantae; Streptophyta; Magnoliopsida; Poales; Poaceae
Description: partial small subunit ribosomal RNA
Source: RNAcentral
AUGAGCCCAAUAUUAAGGAAAAUGAUAGUCACAGGUGUUUGUGGCCUCGUAAGCCUUGUACUGCGGCAGAAUUUGUAUCUUGAGCACCUCCGUGCUGACGAUUUAUAUAUCAAGCAGCGUGGUAAUGGUGAACCUACACUGAAAGUCUUGCUAUCCGGUGUCAGAAAAAAUUCGGGUACACCGAGAGUUGAAUCUAGCUGGCAUCCAACAAUCUGGACAUCCUUGUAUCAAGCUGUUGUUUUUGUGUUUGGAGUAUUGCCAAAUUCCAAGGUUUUUAUUUGUUGGGGAGUGCUUCGGUACAACCCCCGCCCCCUAAACCGUAUAAUGGAUAGGAUGGUCAUUCACAUUGGGUAUAGGAAUACCCCCGACGUCGUACGUCCGCGCGCGACGUCGUACGCCCGCCCGCGUAUGCCGCGCCCGUCGCCGUACGCCCGCCCGCGUAUGCCGCACGCAUCGCUGUACGUCGCCGCCGUACGCCCACGACGUCUCCACGUUGGCGUCGACAGUUAUGAAAAAAAAACGUCAAGGGAGCCGUCGACGCCCGCCGUCGUAAUCCUAAACCCCGAAUGCAUCCACGCCGUCUCCACGUUGCCCCCGUCUCGUAGUCACCGUCACCCUCCACGUCGCUCGGGUCGCCGCCCAAAGAAGCUGCCGCGCGUGCCCCGGCGCCGUUGCUGCUGCCGCCACGUUCCUUUGCCGUCGCCUAGAUGGCCGCCCACCCGUGUUCUUCGGCGCCGCCUUCCUCCCCGGAUUCCGCUUGCUACCACCGGGCACCAUCGUGACGCCGUCGACACUUGCCUCGUUCGGCCAGCAACGUCACGCCGUCAGCGUGUUCGUCAUCAGACAAAAUGGAUCCAGUUGACAUCCUCGCCGCCGUGCAAGAGGUUGGAACAUAUGAAGAAGGCACGUGAGCUUGAGGUCCUUGAGAGACAGAGAGGAUCAGACACUCACAGAUUCAUACUGGCAUGGAAGGAAAAUAGGGAUAUCAGAUUCACUAUGGACUACACCCCAGGUACAGGGGAGAGAGAUAGGUACAGCGAGUUGACUAUCUUAUCUGCCGAAGCAUCUCAUAAAGCAUGCCAUAAACCAUUUUUGUUUGACAAGUUGAAGGCGGCUCUGAGGGACAUAAUAGAUAAUGAUUACACCGAGGAUGAUGAGCCUGGUGUGGAGAAAAAGUUUGUGAACGACGCUGCAUUUGAGCCUAAUCAAGAUCAUGUUCUUGUUCGUGAUCCUGCAAAAAUUAACACCAAAGGCGCAUCAAAACAGAAUGUUAAAGGCCGCGCCCGACAGUGUGCCGGCCGGUCUGACAUUACACAGACCGCACCGACGGCACUGUCCCAUAGGGCAGCGUCGGAUGGCGGUAGCAAAGCGAGCAAACCAGAGGAGUACGACUGCCUCUGUGGCGACGGGUAUAUAAGCCGGCCGUUGCGCCCUCCGUCGUGCGAGGUGGGACUAAACAUAUGCGCUCAGGUUGCCGUCGCCCGCGGGGUACUUGGGCCGUCGUCUGUCAGGCUGGAAAGCCUUAUUGGGCCGGUCCACGCCGUCACGCGCGUCACUGCCGACGCGGCGGCGGCGGUGACAUGGGGGUGGUUGGUAGAGAAAAUUUUAUUCCAUACCGAUCUAACAUUGGCCUCCCUGGUGAGGUUUGCCGAGGUCGAUCUGAUAGAGACCUCGGGAACGCUUGCGUGGCCUAGCUAUUCUGGCCACCGCCAUGACUCAUCGGAAUCGAGCUCCAGUCUUGGUCCGGUGAAACAUAACUUUCAGCCCCCAACUGAUGUGAAACCAACGGUUGGGCAGUGA